Molecule: ribosomal RNA, 466 nt
Filed under: uncultured bacterium
Lineage: Bacteria
Description: partial 16S ribosomal RNA
Rfam family: Bacterial small subunit ribosomal RNA
Source: RNAcentral
CUACGGGGUGCUGCAGUGAGGAAUUUUGCGCAAUGGGGGAAACCCUGACGCAGCAACGCCGCGUGAGUGAAGAAGGCCCUUGGGUCGUAAAGCUCCGUCAAUGGGGAAGAAGUUACUUGGUAUUAAUAGUGCCUUGUAUUGACGGUACCCAUGAAGGAAGCACCGGCUAACUCCGUGCCAGCAGCGCGCGGUAAUACGGGGGGUGCAAGCGUUAUUCGGAAUUAUUGGGCGUAAAGGGCACGCAGGCGGUCCUGUCAGUCAGAUGUGAAAGCCCGGGGCUCAACCCCGGACGUGCAUUUGAAACAGCAGGACUUGAGUACGGGAGAGGAAAGGGGAAUUCCUGGUGUAGAGGUGAAAUUCGUAGAUAUCAGGAGGAACACCGGUGGCGAAGGCGCCUUUCUGGACCGAUACUGACGCUGAGGUGCGAAGGCGUGGGUAGCGAACGGGAUUAGAUACCCCGGUAGUC